GAUGAACGCUGGCGGCGUGCCUAAUACAUGCAAGUCGAGCGAACGGACGAGAAGCUUGCUUCUCUGAUGUUAGCGGCGGACGGGUGAGUAACACGUGGAUAACCUACCUAUAAGACUGGGAUAACUUCGGGAAACCGUAGCUAAUACCGGAUAAUAUUUUGAACCGCAUGGUUCAAAAGUGAAAGACGGUCUUGCUGUCACUUAUAGAUGGAUCCGCGCUGCAUUAGCUAGUUGGUAAGGUAACGGCUUACCGAGGCAACGAUGCAUAGCCGACCUGAGAGGGUGAUCGGCCACACUGGAACUGAGACACGGUCCAGACUCCUACGGGAGGCAGCAGUAGGGAAUCUUCCGCAAUGGGCGAAAGCCUGACGGAGCAACGCCGCGUGAGAGAUGAAGGUCUUCGGAUCGUAAAACUCUGUUAUUAGGGAAGAACAUAUAUGUAAGUAACUGUGCACAUCUUGACGGUACCUAAUCAGAAAGCCACGGCUAACUACGUG
Molecule: ribosomal RNA, 497 nt
Filed under: uncultured bacterium
Lineage: Bacteria
Description: partial 16S ribosomal RNA
Rfam family: Bacterial small subunit ribosomal RNA
Source: RNAcentral